This 482-nucleotide ribosomal RNA is filed under the name uncultured bacterium. Its description in RNAcentral is "partial 16S ribosomal RNA". It matches the Rfam family "Bacterial small subunit ribosomal RNA", at positions 30 to 507 of the family's 1533-position model. The record is from RNAcentral.
AUUGAACGCUGGCGGCAUGCCUUACACAUGCAAGUCGAACGGUAACGGGCCUUCGGGUGCCGAUGAGUGGCGAACGGGUGAGUAAUACAUCGGAACGUGCCCGAUCGUGGGGGAUAACGAGGCGAAAGCUUUGCUAAUACCGCAUACGAUCUACGGAUGAAAGCAGGGGACCGCAAGGCCUUGCGCGGACGGAGCGGCCGAUGGCAGAUUAGGUAGUUGGUGGGAUAAAAGCUUACCAAGCCGACGAUCUGUAGCUGGUCUGAGAGGAUGAUCAGCCACACGGGGACUGAGACACGGCCCAGAGUCCUACGGGAGGCAGCAGUGGGGAAUGUUGGACAAUGGGCGCGAGCCGGAUCCAGCCAUGCCGCGUGCAGGAUGAAGGCCUUCGGGUUGUAAACUGCUUUUGUACGGAACGAAAAGCCUUCUUUUAAUACAGGAGGGUCAUGACGGUACCGUAAGAAUAAGCACCGGCUAACUACGUG